UCGAUUCGAGCGAAAGCGAGAAAGCGUUGCCGCAGGCAACGACCCGAAGGGCGAAGCGCGCAGCGCUGAGUCAUCCUUCCCCCACCACCA
Molecule: small RNA, 90 nt
Filed under: Salmonella enterica subsp. enterica serovar Senftenberg
Lineage: Bacteria; Pseudomonadati; Pseudomonadota; Gammaproteobacteria; Enterobacterales; Enterobacteriaceae
Also listed under: 5 other names
Description: partial RtT sRNA
Rfam family: RtT RNA
About the family: This family represents a bacterial cis-regulatory element known as RtT RNA. The exact function of RtT is unknown although it is thought that it may be involved in changing the cellular response in relation to amino acid starvation.
Source: RNAcentral